Molecule: ribosomal RNA, 1429 nt
Filed under: Lactobacillus sp. 3.8.42
Lineage: Bacteria; Bacillati; Bacillota; Bacilli; Lactobacillales; Lactobacillaceae
Description: bacterial SSU rRNA
Rfam family: Bacterial small subunit ribosomal RNA
Source: RNAcentral
GUCGAACGAACUCUGGUAUUGAUUGGUGCUUGCAUCAUGAUUUACAUUUGAGUGAGUGGCGAACUGGUGAGUAACACGUGGGAAACCUGCCCAGAAGCGGGGGAUAACACCUGGAAACAGAUGCUAAUACCGCAUAACAACUUGGACCGCAUGGUCCGAGUUUGAAAGAUGGCUUCGGCUAUCACUUUUGGAUGGUCCCGCGGCGUAUUAGCUAGAUGGUGGGGUAACGGCUCACCAUGGCAAUGAUACGUAGCCGACCUGAGAGGGUAAUCGGCCACAUUGGGACUGAGACACGGCCCAAACUCCUACGGGAGGCAGCAGUAGGGAAUCUUCCACAAUGGACGAAAGUCUGAUGGAGCAACGCCGCGUGAGUGAAGAAGGGUUUCGGCUCGUAAAACUCUGUUGUUAAAGAAGAACAUAUCUGAGAGUAACUGUUCAGGUAUUGACGGUAUUUAACCAGAAAGCCACGGCUAACUACGUGCCAGCAGCCGCGGUAAUACGUAGGUGGCAAGCGUUGUCCGGAUUUAUUGGGCGUAAAGCGAGCGCAGGCGKUUUUUUAAGUCUGAUGUGAAAGCCUUUCGGCUCAACCGAAGAAGUGCAUCGGAAACUGGGAAACUUGAGUGCAGAAGAGGACAGUGGAACUCCAUGUGUAGCGGUGAAAUGCGUAGAUAUAUGGAAGAACACCAGUGGCGAAGGCGGCUGUCUGGUCUGUAACUGACGCUGAGGCUCGAAAGUAUGGGUAGCAAACAGGAUUAGAUACCCUGGUAGUCCAUACCGUAAACGAUGAAUGCUAAGUGUUGGAGGGUUUCCGCCCUUCAGUGCUGCAGCUAACGCAUUAAGCAUUCCGCCUGGGGAGUACGGCCGCAAGGCUGAAACUCAAAGGAAUUGACGGGGGCCCGCACAAGCGGUGGAGCAUGUGGUUUAAUUCGAAGCUACGCGAAGAACCUUACCAGGUCUUGACAUACUAUGCAAAUCUAAGAGAUUAGACGUUCCCUUCGGGGACAUGGAUACAGGUGGUGCAUGGUUGUCGUCAGCUCGUGUCGUGAGAUGUUGGGUUAAGUCCCGCAACGAGCGCAACCCUUAUUAUCAGUUGCCAGCAUUAAGUUGGGCACUCUGGUGAGACUGCCGGUGACAAACCGGAGGAAGGUGGGGAUGACGUCAAAUCAUCAUGCCCCUUAUGACCUGGGCUACACACGUGCUACAAUGGAUGGUACAACGAGUUGCGAACUCGCGAGAGUAAGCUAAUCUCUUAAAGCCAUUCUCAGUUCGGAUUGUAGGCUGCAACUCGCCUACAUGAAGUCGGAAUCGCUAGUAAUCGCGGAUCAGCAUGCCGCGGUGAAUACGUUCCCGGGCCUUGUACACACCGCCCGUCACACCAUGAGAGUUUGUAACACCCAAAGUCGGUGGGGUAACCUUUUAGGAACCAGCC